This 66-nucleotide transfer RNA is filed under the name Monolepta occifluvis. Its description in RNAcentral is "tRNA-Trp". Lineage: Eukaryota; Metazoa; Arthropoda; Insecta; Coleoptera; Chrysomelidae. The record is from RNAcentral.
AAGGAUUUAAGUUAAGUUUAAAACUUUUAACCUUCAAAGUUGAAUAUAGAUUUUAUCUAAGCCUUA